This is a small nucleolar RNA of Scleropages formosus (Asian bonytongue), 129 nucleotides long. The record is from Ensembl. NCBI's taxonomy places the organism in Eukaryota, Metazoa, Chordata, Actinopteri, Osteoglossiformes, Osteoglossidae.
UGGCACGUUUCAUUGUCCCAUUCUUUUCCUGUAAGAAAUGAGAUAUUUCUGACGUGCUAGAUGAACGUUGGAGGUAAAUUAGCAGGAUGGCUGCAACGUGCCGUUUCUGCCAGUCCCCUUCGCACACUC